GAUGAACGCUGGCGGCGUGCCUAAUACAUGCAAGUCGAGCGAACAGACGAGGAGCUUGCUCCUCUGACGUUAGCGGCGGACGGGUGAGUAACACGUGGAUAACCUACCUAUAAGACUGGGAUAACUUCGGGAAACCGGAGCUAAUACCGGAUAAUAUAUUGAACCGCAUGGUUCAAUAGUGAAAGACGGUUUUGCUGUCACUUAUAGAUGGAUCCGCGCCGCAUUAGCUAGUUGGUAAGGUAACGGCUUACCAAGGCAACGAUGCGUAGCCGACCUGAGAGGGUGACCGGCCACCCAGGACAUGAGCACGGGUCCAGACCCCUCGGGGAGGCAGAAGUAGGGAACCUUCCGCAAUGGGCAAAAGCCUGACGGACCAACGCCGGGUGAGUGAUGAAGGUCUUGGGAUCGUAAAACUCUUUUAUUAGGGAAAAAAAAAUGUGAAAGUAACUAUGCACGUUUUGACGGUACCAAAUAAGAAAGCCACGGCUAACUACGU
This 496-nucleotide ribosomal RNA is filed under the name uncultured bacterium. RNAcentral describes it as "partial 16S ribosomal RNA". It matches the Rfam family "Bacterial small subunit ribosomal RNA", at positions 28 to 506 of the family's 1533-position model. The record is from RNAcentral.